GGCAGGUUGCCCGAGCGGCCAAAGGGAGCUGACUGUAAAUCAGCCGGCACAGCCUUCGUAGGUUCGAAUCCUACACCUGCCACCA
RNAcentral lists this transfer RNA (85 nucleotides) under Phytoactinopolyspora halotolerans. RNAcentral describes it as "tRNA-Tyr". It matches the Rfam family "tRNA". From Rfam's summary of the family: Transfer RNA (tRNA) molecules are approximately 80 nucleotides in length. Their secondary structure includes four short double-helical elements and three loops (D, anti-codon, and T loops). Lineage: Bacteria; Bacillati; Actinomycetota; Actinomycetes; Jiangellales; Jiangellaceae. The record is from RNAcentral.